Molecule: long non-coding RNA, 2686 nt
Organism: Rhagoletis zephyria (snowberry fruit fly)
Lineage: Eukaryota; Metazoa; Arthropoda; Insecta; Diptera; Tephritidae
Source: RefSeq, a predicted model, not a curated record
CGAUACUCAACGAAAAUUUCGACACGGUUGCAUAGCUCAUAAUACGAAUUUCACUUUCGAUCUUCGAUAACUCAUAAUUAGGGCCUUAGCUUUUAGGAACUUUUCGGCAAUUCGUUCGUUACGGGUUAAUAUAAGUACAUUACCGUCGCGGAGUUGGGAAAUUGAAUCUUGUUCCGUUGAGAAAGAUUCUAUACAUUUUUUAAUAGAGAAUGGGCUCAAUUAAGAUAGAGAUUUGUUAUUAUCUGCGGAUGAUAUCAGCCACAUCACGACUUGAAUCAGCUGGCGAACUAUCUGCUAAUAAAUCGAAGACGAUUUGAUCAUCUGGCUAUCACCAAAACUCUAAAUGAUAAGAAAAUCAACUUAGCCCCGGUUUGUAUCCAAGCCGUGUAUUCUGCUAUCUUAAACGACUAUAGGAAUUCCAACUUCUGUAUUUUCUACACGGACGCCUCUGUUGGCCCCAGUUCGGCAGGCUGUGGUGUGUACAACUAUACUAAUUCAACCUUACUGCCUGUAAUCUCCUUGCAAAGGACAAGACGUAUAACCACCUCAUUCUUGAAGUUCAUAACCUAAUCCAAGCAGCAGACUUUUACAAUGUGUCCAUUAUCUGGACUCCCAGCCAUGUCGGCAUCGCAGGUAACGAAACUGCCGACUCUUUAGCUAAAACAGCGGUAAGCUGUGAUAACAUCCUUGACGUUAAAUUAACAAUUGACGAAGCGCUCAGAAACAUACGUAACACAAUUUACAAUAAAUGGUAUGAAGAUUUCCUUAUCUUUUACAGCAACAAACAUAGCCUUUUUGCACAAAUCUGUACUCAGAGACCCCAAAAACAUGGUUCAACAAAUUUAAAAGAAGUCCUAGGGAAAUUCAAAUACUGAAUCGAAUCCUAAGCGGCUACACUUACGACAAUGAGUACCUUUAUCGUAUUAAUGCGAUAAAUUUUAAUACUUGCAGAUGUGGAGUCUGAUGAUUAUAUUCACCAGACCUUCCACUUUCCCUCGCUUGCUGGCGCUCGAGGGCUUCGAAGGCAUACUAAACAGCGCUGAUUUUUCCGAUAUCUUUCGCGGCUUUGACUUCUGCAAAAUCACUCUGCUUGCUGAGUUCCUAACUAAAGUUGAAGCUAAAUUCUAAAAUUUUAAUAUAACAUUAAUCAUGAACAUUACUUAUCACGGGUGGAAAUACCGUCCUCCUCACUCAAUCCUCCCUGUCCUUCCCUCCAUUAUACCUUCACUCAUUCAUCACUGUUCGGUCUUAAAUGACUGUCCCAUCGCACAAGUCAACUCAACUAUCUCAUCUUACACGCACAUCUGAUUCACCUCAAAUCGCUCCUUUUGACGUCCACGAUCUUCUACACGGAUUACAAUACUACAUCUCAACUUAUCCGCCACUUACCUCUGCAGUCUUUCGAACAAACAAAGAUGUCCAGCUUAAGUCAACGGUAAAGACGACUCACAUGCCAUUGAUCACCUCGGUUUAGUUACACUGUCCAACAACCUUUUGGAUCAUUCAACAAGAGAUUAGCUACGCGAACGCAACUAUCAUCACUCAUCAAGUGCUACUGCACAGUACGCUUUAUCCUCAAGGUACACCUUCGUGUAACACGUCAGAACUAUUCAAGCAGAGGGAUAACCUGGCGUUGGGUAACUUCCCAUCGAACUCAAAACAAAAAAAAAAAAAAAAACCUUAUCAGUACAACGAAGGCCUGGAAGUGGAAGAAAAGAAGGAUUUGUGUCGCAGUCAAAGGCCAAAGAAGUAUUGCCAUUAUUUCGAAAAAAAACCUGGCUUUUCACUUCGACAUGCUGCAAAAAAGGUCCAUAUGUCGAAAGGUUACGUCCAAAAACUGCGCAAAAGUGAAGGUUUACGAUCAUAUAAAAAGAUUGUAGCCCCAAAUCGAAAUGAUAAACAAAAUAAGAUUGCUAAAAGCGUGCGCGAAAAUUAUACAGUCAAGACAUUCUUAGAUAUGGAUGUGUGGUUAUGGACGAUGAAACAUACGUCAAAGCAGACUUUAAACAGAUUCAGAGCGUAGAGUUUUAUACUGCAACAAAGAGAGGUGGAGUGACAGGUGCCUUCAAACUAAAAAUGAUGGACAAGUUCCCUAAACAAUUUUUGGUGUGGCAAGCCAUCUGUCAGUGUGGUAUGAAAACCAAAACAUUCAUUACCACGGGCACAAUACAUCAAGAAAUUUUUAUAAAGGAAUGUUUGCAAAAACGUUUGCUGCCAUUCAUUAAACAACAUCAAGGCUGUUCUGUUCUGGCGCCAUUUAACGUUGUGCCAUUACAGCCGUCUUGCCAUGAAGUGGUAUGAAAGCAAUGGGGUAAAUAUUGUUGAAAAGGACCACAACAAAAACCAAACUGCCCACAAUUGCGACCCAUUGAAUAAUAUUAGGCAAUUGUUAAAAGAAAAUUGCUAAAGAUGAAAAAAUACGCCAAAAAUUAGCAGCAGUUUAAAAGGAAUUGGCAGAGAGCAGCAGAUACCGUCACAAAAACUGAUGUCCACCGCUUAAUGAGCGGGUUCAAAUCUAAACUGCGCCAUUUGGUUUAUCUUAAAGAGAAUUGAAAUGAGUUUUUCGUUGAAUAUAGUAAACUUAAUAAAGAAGAUAAUAAAACAAAAAUAGGAUUUCCUUGCUUGUAUAAUUUGUUGUUAUAAUGAUUUUCGACUGACCAAAAUUUUUCGUGUCCAUUCUUUAUUU